CUUGCUCCACCGGAAAAAGAGGAGUGGCGAACGGGUGAGUAACACGUGGGUAACCUGCCCAUCAGAAGGGGAUAACACUUGGAAACAGGUGCUAAUACCGUAUAACAAUCGAAACCGCAUGGUUUUGAUUUGAAAGGCGCUUUCGGGUGUCGCUGAUGGAUGGACCCGCGGUGCAUUAGCUAGUUGGUGAGGUAACGGCUCACCAAGGCCACGAUGCAUAGCCGACCUGAGAGGGUGAUCGGCCACAUUGGGACUGAGACACGGCCCAAACUCCUACGGGAGGCAGCAGUAGGGAAUCUUCGGCAAUGGACGAAAGUCUGACCGAGCAACGCCGCGUGAGUGAAGAAGGUUUUCGGAUCGUAAAACUCUGUUGUUAGAGAAGAACAAGGAUGAGAGUAACUGUUCAUCCCUUGACGGUAUCUAACCAGAAAGCCACGGCUAACUACGUGCCAGCAGCCGCGGUAAUACGUAGGUGGCAAGCGUUGUCCGGAUUUAUUGGGCGUAAAGCGAGCGCAGGCGGUUUCUUAAGUCUGAUGUGAAAGCCCCCGGCUCAACCGGGGAGGGUCAUUGGAAACUGGGAGACUUGAGUGCAGAAGAGGAGAGUGGAAUUCCAUGUGUAGCGGUGAAAUGCGUAGAUAUAUGGAGGAACACCAGUGGCGAAGGCGGCUCUCUGGUCUGUAACUGACGCUGAGGCUCGAAAGCGUGGGGAGCAAACAGGAUUAGAUACCCUGGUAGUCCACGCCGUAAACGAUGAGUGCUAAGUGUUGGAGGGUUUCCGCCCUUCAGUGCUGCAGCUAACGCAUUAAGCACUCCGCCUGGGGAGUACGACCGCAAGGUUGAAACUCAAAGGAAUUGACGGGGGCCCGCACAAGCGGUGGAGCAUGUGGUUUAAUUCGAAGCAACGCGAAGAACCUUACCAGGUCUUGACAUCCUUUGACCACUCUAGAGAUAGAGCUUCCCCUUCGGGGGCAAAGUGACAGGUGGUGCAUGGUUGUCCUCACCUCCUGUCCUGAAAUGUUGGGUUAAGUCCC
Molecule: ribosomal RNA, 1031 nt
Filed under: Enterococcus faecium
Lineage: Bacteria; Bacillati; Bacillota; Bacilli; Lactobacillales; Enterococcaceae
Description: bacterial SSU rRNA
Rfam family: Bacterial small subunit ribosomal RNA
Source: RNAcentral